UACGUAGGGGGCGAGCGUUGUCCGGAAUCAUUGGGCGUAAAGCGCGCGUAGGCGGCCCGGUAAGUCCGUUGUAAAAGUCAAAGGCUCAACCUUUGAACGCCGAUGGAUACUGCCGGGCUAGAGUCCGGAAGAGGCGAGUGGAAUUCCUGGUGUAGCGGUGAAAUGCGCAGAUAUCAGGAAGAACACCCGUGGCGAAAGCGGCUCUCUGGAACGGUACUGACGCUGAGACGCGAAAGCGUGGGGAGCGAACAGG
This 253-nucleotide ribosomal RNA is filed under the name uncultured bacterium. RNAcentral's name for it is "partial 16S ribosomal RNA". It matches the Rfam family "Bacterial small subunit ribosomal RNA", at positions 524 to 776 of the family's 1533-position model. The record is from RNAcentral.